GGUUCCUUAGCUCAGUUGGUAGAGCAACUGACUCUUAAUCAGUGGGUCGAGGGUUCGAGUCCCUCAGGAACCA
Molecule: transfer RNA, 73 nt
Filed under: Lachnospiraceae bacterium
Lineage: Bacteria; Bacillati; Bacillota; Clostridia; Lachnospirales; Lachnospiraceae
Also listed under: 4 other names
Description: tRNA-Lys
Rfam family: tRNA
About the family: Transfer RNA (tRNA) molecules are approximately 80 nucleotides in length.
Source: RNAcentral